This 7746-nucleotide long non-coding RNA is filed under the name Vitis vinifera (wine grape). RNAcentral describes it as "long non-coding RNA (VVIN_LNC003540)". Lineage: Eukaryota; Viridiplantae; Streptophyta; Magnoliopsida; Vitales; Vitaceae. The record is from RNAcentral.
GGUCAACAAAUAACACUCAAACAUAAAAGAGAAUAAUGAAGAACAAUGCAAAAUGGAGGAGAAUAGGGGAUACGGAGGAAACUUACCUGACAAGUAUUUCCCCAUAAACUUCUCUUUACCUCGAGAAACUUGAAAAUUCUACCCUUACGCUUAUAGAAGGUAGCGAAAGGUGUAGAGAUCAAAUGUAAAAGCGAGAAUUACAAAAUUAACUCUUAAGGCUUAAUAUGGUUGAAAGGAAAUCAAAUUCUGCCCAUACGAAACUAAAGAAAUGAGGAAUAGACAACGCAACAUCAAGAUAAAAACAAAGAAAGAAAUUAUUGGAUUCAAUAUUAAUUUUCUAGAACACACAUAUAGUAAACAUAUAACACGAAAACAUAAAAGAUAAAUAAGAAGAACAACGCAAAAUUUGAGAGAAUAGGGAAUAUGGAGAAAACUUAUCGAAGAACUAAUUCCCAAUAAACUUCUCUUGACAAGGGGAAACCUAAAAAUUCUACCCUUACGCUUAAAGCAAUGUAGAGAAAGGAGUAGAGAUCAAAUUUUAAAACCACAAUGUACUUGAAAGUAAAUAAAAUUUUUUUGAUAAGAAACUAAAGAAAUGAAAAAUAGAAAACACAACAUAGAGCUCUAAAAAAAACAAUGAAAUCAAAGGAUUGAAAAUUCAUUAUCUACUAGAUACACGCAGUGAACAAAUAACACUCAAAUAUAAAAGAGAAGAAUAAAGAACAAUGCGAAAUGGAGGAGAAUAGGGGAUACGGAGAAAACUUACCUGACAAGUAUUUUCAAACAAACUUCUCCUUUCCUCGGGAAACCUGAAAAUUCUACUUUCACGCUUACCUAACAAGUAUGUGUACUAGAAAAUUAAUUUUGAAUUCGUUAAUUUCUUUAUUUGUUUUUUAUCUUGAUCUUGCGUUGUCUAUUCCUCAUUUCUUUAGUUUUGUACCUGCAUAAUUUGAUUUUCUUUCAAUGAUAUUGUUCCUUAAGAGUUAAUUUUGUUAUUCUCAUUUUUACGUUUGAUUAAGCGUAAGGGUAAAAUUUUCAAGUUUCCCGAGGAAAAGUGAGGUUUGUUUGAAAAUACUUGUCAGGUAAGUUUUCUCCGUAUCCCCUAUUCUCCUCCAUUUCGCAUUGUUCUUCAUUCUUCUCUUUUAUAUUUGAGUGUUAUUUGUUCACUGCGUGUAUCUAGUAGAUAAUGAAUUUUCAAUCCUUUGAUGUCAUUGUCUUUUUUAGAACUCUAUGUUGUGUUUUCUAUUUUUCAUUUCUUUAGUUUCUUAUCAAAAAAAUUUUAUUUACUUUCAAGUACAUUGUGGUUUUAAAAUUUGAUCUCUACUCCUUUCUCUACCUUGCUUUUAGCGUAAGGGUAGAAUUUUUAGGUUUCCUCUAGUUCAGAGAAGGUUAUUAGGAAUUAGUUCUUCCAUAAGUUUUCUCCAUGUUCCCUAUUCUAUCAAAUUUUGCAUUGUUAUUCUUAUUUAUUUUUUAUGUUUUCGUGUUAUAUGUUUACUAUAUGUGUGUUCUAGAAAAUUAAUAUUGAAUCAAAUAAUUUCUUUCUUUGUUUUUAUCUUGAUGUUGCGUUGUCUAUUCCUCAUUUCUUUAGUUUCGUAUGGGCAGAAUUUGAUUUCCUUUACAACAUAUUAAGCCUUAAGAGUUAAUUUUCUAAUUCUCGUUUUUACAUUUGAUCUCUACACUUUUCGCUACCUUCUAUAAGCGUAAGGGUAGAAUUUUCAAGUUUCUCGAGGUAAAGAGAAGUUUAUGGGGAAAUACUUGUCAGGUAAGUUUCCUCCGUAUCCCCUAUUCUCCUCCAUUUUGCAUUGUUCUUUAUUAUUCCCUUUUAUGUUUGAGUGUUAUUUGUUGACCGCUUGUGUGUAGUAAAGAAUUAAUUUUCAAUCCUUUGAUUCCUUUGUUUGUUUUUAAAAGCUUGAUGUUGUGUUUUUUAUUCCUUAUUUCUUUAGUUUCGUAUCAGAAUAAUUUGAUUUAUUUUCAAGGACAUUGUGGUUUUAACAUUUGAUAUCUACUCCUUUCUCUAUCUUGCUUUAAGAAGAAUGGUAGAAUUUUCAGGUUUUCCGUGGUAAAGAGAAGUUUAUUGGGAAUUANNNNNNNNNNNNNNNNNNNNNNNNNNNNNNNNNNNNNNNNNNNNNNNNNNNNNNNNNNNNNNNNNNNNNNNNNNNNNNNNNNNNNNNNNNNNNNNNNNNNAACAGUGCAAAAUUUGAGAGAAUAGGGAAUACGGAGGAAACUUAUUCAAGAACUAAUUCCCAAUAAACUUCUCUUUACCACGAGAAACCUGAAAAUUCUACCCUUAUGCUUAAUGCAAGGUAGAGAAAGGAGUAGAGAUAAAAUGUUAAAACCACAAUAUCCUUAAGAGUAAAUAAAAUUAUUCGGAUACGAAACUAAAGAUAUGAGCAAUAGAAAACACAACAUUAAACUUUUAAAAACAAACAAAGGAAUCAAAGGAUUGAAAAUUAAUUCUAUACUACACACAAGCGGUCAACAAAUAACACUCAAACAUAAAAGAGAAUAAUGAAGAAGAAUGCAAAAUGGAGGAGAAUAUGGGAUACGGAGGAAACUUACUUGACAAGUAUUUCCUCAUAAACUUCUCUUUACCUCGAGAAACUUGAAAAUUCUACCCUUACGCUUAUAGAAGGUAGCGAAAGGUAUAGAGAUCAAAUGUAAAAACGAGAAUUACAAAAUUAACUCUUAAGGCUUAAUAUGGUUGAAAAGGAAAUCAAAUUUUGCCGAUACGAAACUAAAGAAAUGAGGAAUAGACAACGCAACAUCAAGAUAAAAACAAAGAAAGAAAUUAUUGGAUUGAAUAUUAAUUUUCUAGAACACACAUAUAGUAAACAUAUAACACGAAAACAUAAAAGAUAAAUAAGAAGAACAACGCAAAAUUUGAGAGGAUAGGGAAUAUGGAGAAAACUUAUCGAAGAACUAAUUCCCAAUAAACUUCUCUUGACAAGGGGAAACCUAAAAAUUCUACCAUUACGCUUAAAGUAAGGUAGAGAAAGGAGUACAGAUCAAAUUUUAAAACCACAAUGUACUUGAAAGUAAAUAAAAUUUUUUUGAUAAGAAACUAAAGAAAUGAAAAAUAGAAAACACAACAUAGAGCUCUAAAAAAACAAUGAAACCAAAGGAUUGAAAAUUCAUUAUCUACUAGAUACACGCAGUGAACAAAUAACACUCAAAUAUAAAAGAGAAGAAUAAAGAACAAUGCGAAAUGGAGGAGAAUAGGGGAUACGGAGAAAACUUACCUGACAAGUAUUUUCAAACAAACUUCUCUUUUCCUCGGGAAACCUGAAAAUUUUACUUUCACGCUUACCUGACAAGUAUGUGUGUACUAGAAAAUUAAUUUUGAAUUCGUUAAUUUCUUUAUUUGUUUUUUAUCUUGAUCUUGCGCUUGUCUCUUCCUCAUUUCUUUAGUUUUGUACCUGCAUAAUUUGAUUUCCUUUUAACGAUAUUGUGCCUUAAGAGUUAAUUUUCUUGUUCUCAUUUUUACAUUUGAUCUCUACUCCUUUUGCUCCAUUCAAUAAGCGUAAGGGUAGAAUUUUCAGGUUUCCCGAGGAAAAGAGAAGUUUGUUUGAAAAUACUUGUCAGGUAAGUUUUCUCUAUAUCCCCUAUUCUCCUCCAUUUCGCAUUGUUCUUCAUUCUUCUCUUUUAUAUUUGAGUGUUAUUUGUUCACUGCGUAUAUCUAGUAGAUAAUGAAUUUUCAAUCCUUUUAUUUCAUUGCUUUUUUUAGAGCUCUAUGUUUUGUUUUCUAUUUCUCAUUUCUUUAGUUUCUUAUCAAAAAAAUUUUAUUUACUUUCAAGUACAUUGUGGUUUUAAAAUUUGAUCUCUACUCCUUUCUCUACCUUGCUUUGAGCGUAAGGGUAGAAUUUUUAGAUUUCCCCUUGUCAAGAGAAGUUUAUUGGGAAUUAGUUCUUCGAUAAGUUUUCUCCAUAUUCUCUAUUCUCUCAAAUUUUGCGUUGUUCUUCUUAUUUAUCUGUUAUGUUUUCGUGUUAUAUGUUUACUAUAUGUGUGUUCUAGAAAAUUAAUAUUCAAUCCAAUAAUUUCUUUCUUUGUUUUUUAUCUUGAUGUUGCCUUGUCUAUUCCUCAUUUCUUUUGUUUCGUAUCGGCAGAAUUUGAUUUCCUUUCAACCAUAUUAAGCCUUAAGAGUUAAUUUUCUAAUUUUCGUUUUUACAUUUGAUCUCUACACCUUUCGCUACCUUCUAUAAGCGUAAGGGUAGAAUUUUCAAGUUUCUCGAGGUAAAGAGAAGUUUAUGAGGAAAUACUUGUCCAGUAAGUUUCCUCCGUAUCCCCUAUUCUCCUCCAUUUUGCAUUGUUCUUCAUUAUUCUCUUUUAUGUUUGAGUGUUAUUUGUUGACCGUUUGUGUGUAAUAGAGAAUUAAUUUUCAAUCCUUUGAUUCCUUUGUUUGUUUUUAAAAGUUUGAUGUUGUUUUUUCUAUUGCUCAUAUCUUUAGUUUCGUAUCCGAAUAAUUUUAUUUACUCUCAAGGACAUUGUGGUUUUAACAUUUGAUCUCUACUCCUUUCUCUACCUUGCAUUAAGCAUAAGGGUAGAAUUUUCAGGUUUCUCGUGGUAAAGAGAAGUUUAUUGGGAAUUAGUUCUUGAAUAAGUUUCCUCCGUAUUUCCUAUUCUCUCAAAUUUUGCACUGUCUACUGUAUGAGUGUACGAAAAAAUUACUUUUGAACCCGUUAAAAAAACAAAAAAUGGUAAACGAACUAAUUCCCAAUAAACUUCUCUUUACCUACAAAAACUUAAAAACUCAAACCCUCUUCUUAACGCUCGGUAUAGAUAGGAGUAUAGAUCAAAUGUAAAAACAAAAAUUUCCUUGAAAGUAAAAAUUAUUAUUCGGAUACUAAUCNAAAGAUAUGAGCAAUAGAAAAAACUACAUCAACUUUUAAUAAACAACAAAGGAAUCAAAGGAUUGAAAAUUAAUUCUCAAUUACACACAAACGGUCAACAAAUAACACUCAAACAUAAAAGAGAAUAAUUAAUAACAAUGCAAAAUGGAGGAGAAUAUGGGAUACGGAGGAAACUUACCUGACAAGUAUUUCCCCAUAAACUUCUCUUUACCUCGAGAAACUUGAAAAUUCUACCCUUACGCUUAUAGAAGGUAGCGAAAGGUGUAGAGAUCAAAUGUAAAAACGAGAAUUAGAAAAUUAACUCUUAAGGCUUAAUAUGGUUGAAAGGAAAUCAAAUUCUGCCGGUACGAAACUAAAGAAAUGAGGAAUAGACAACGCAACAUCAAGAUAAAAAACAAAGAAAGAAAUUAUUGGAUUCAAUAUUAAUUUUCUAGAACACACAUAUAGUAAACAUAUAAUACGAAAACAUAAAAGAUAAAUAAGAAGAAUAACGCAAAAUUUGAGAGAAUAGGAAAUAUGGAGAAAACUUAUCGAAGAACUAAUUCCCAAUAAACUUCUCUUGACAAGGGGAAACCUAAAAAUUCUACCAUUACGCUUAAAGUAAGGUAGAGAAAGGAGUAGAGAUCAAAUUUUAAAACCACAAUGUACUUGAAAGUAAAUAAAAUUUUUUUGAUAAGAAACUAAAGAAAUGAAAAAUAGAAAACACAACAUAGAGCUCUAAAAAAAACAAUGAAACCAAAGGAUUGAAAAUUCAUUAUCUACUAGAUACACGCAGUGAACAAAUAACACUCAAACAUAAAAGAGAAGAAUAAAGAACAAUGCAAAAUGGUGGAGAAUAGGAGAUACGAAGAAAACUUACUCGACAAGUAUUUCCAAACAAACUACUCUUUUCCUCGAGAAACCUUAAAAUUCUACUUUCACGCUUACCUGACAAGUAUGUGUGUACUAGAAAAUUAAUUUUGAAUUCGUUAAUUUCUUUAUUUGUUUUUUAUCUUGAUCUUGCGUUGUCUAUUCCUCAUUUCUUUAGUUUUGUACCUGCAUAAUUUGAUUUUCUUUCAACGAUAUUGUGCCUUAAGAGUUAAUUUUCUUGUUCUCAUUUUUACAUUUGAUCUCUACUCCNNNNNNNNNNNNNNNNNNNNNNNNNNNNNNNNNNNNNNNNNNNNNNNNNNNNNNNNNNNNNNNNNNNNNNNNNNNNNNNNNNNNNNNNNNNNNNNNNNNNAGUUCUUGGAUAAGUUUCCUCCGUAUUCCCUAUUCUCUCAAAUUUUGCACUGUCUACUGUAUGAGUGUACGAGAAAAUUACUUUUGAACCCGUUAAAAAAACAAAGAAAGGUUAACGAACUAAUUCCCAAUAAACUUCUCUUUACCACGAAAAACCUAAAAAUUCUACCAUUCUUUUUAAAGCAAGGUAGAGAAAGGAGUAGAUAUCAAAUGUUAAAACCACAAUGUCCUUGAAAGUAAAUCAAAUUAUUCUGAUACGAAACUAAAGAAAUGAGGAAUAAAAAACACAACAUCAAGCUUUAAAAAAAAAACAAAGAAAUCAAAGAAAUCAAAGGAUUGAAAAUUAAUUCUCUACUACACACAAGCGGUCAACAAAUAACACUCAAACAUAAAAGAGAAUAAUGAAGAACAAUGCAAAAUGGAGGAGAAUAGGGGAUACGGAGGAAACUUACCUGACAAGUAUUUCCCCAUAAACUUCUCUUUACCUUGAGAAACUUGAAAAUUCUACCCUUACGCUUAUAGAAGGUAGCGAAAGGUGUAGAGAUCAAAUGUAAAAACGAGAAUUAGAAAAUUAACUCUUAAGGCUUAAUAUGGUUGAAAGCAAAUCAAAUUUUGCCGAUACGAAACUAAAGAAAUGAGGAAUAGACAACGCAACAUCAAAAUAAAAAACAAAGAAAGAAAUUAUUGGAUUCAAUAUUAAUUUUCUAGAACACACAUAUAAUAAACAUAUAACACGAAAACAUAAAAGAGAAAUAAGAAGAACAACGCAAAAUUUGAGAGAAUAGGGAAUAUGGAGAAAACUUAUCUAAGAACUAAUUCCCAAUAAACUUCUCUUGACAAGGGGAAACUUAAAAAUUCUAUCCUUACGCUUAAAGCAAGGUAGAGAAAGGAAUAGAGAUCAAAUUUUAAAACCACAAUGUACUUGAAAGUAAAUAAAAUUUUUUUGAUAAGAAACUAAAGAAAUGAGAAAUAGAAAACACAACAUAGAGCUCCAAAAAAAACAAUGAAAUCAAAGGAUUGAAAAUUCAUUAUCUACUAGAUACACGCAGUGACCAAAUAACACUCAAAUAUAAAAGAGAAGAAUAAAGAACAAUGCAAAAUGGUGGAGAAUAGGAGAUACGAAGAAAACUUACUCGACAAAUAUUUCCAAACAAACUACUCUUUUCCUCGAGAAACCUUAAAAUUCUACUUUCACGCUUACCUGACAAGUAUGUGUGUACUAGAAAAUUAAUUUUGAAUUCGUUAAUUUCUUUAUUUGUUUUUUAUCUUGAUCUUGCGUUGUCUAUUCCUCAUUUCUUUAGUUUUGUACCUGCAUAAUUUGAUUUUCUUUCAACGAUAUUGUGCCUUAAGAGUUAAUUUUCUUGUUCUCAUUUUUACAUUUGAUCUCUACUCUUUUCGCUACAUUCUAUAAGCGUAAGGGUAGAAUUUUCAGGUUUCCCGAGUAAAAGAGAAGUUUGUUUGAAAAUACUUGUCAGGUAAGUUUUCUUCGUAUCCCCUAUUCUCCUCCAUUUCGCAUUGUUCUUCAUUCUUCUCUUUUAUAUUUGAGUGUUAUUUGUUCACUGCGUGUAUCUAGUAGAUAAUGAAUUUUCAAUCCUUUGAUUUCAUUGUUUUUUUUUAGAGCUCUAUGUUGUGUUUUCUAUUUCUCAUUUCUUUAGUUUGUUAUCAAAAAAUUUUUAUUUAC